GAGCAUUUUCAAUGNCAGUCGAAACGGUACGCGGAGAGAACUUGCUUCUCUCCGGCGACGAGUGGCGAACGGGUGAGUAAUACAUCGGAACGUGUCCGCUCGUGGGGGACAACCAGCCGAAAGGUUGGCUAAUACCGCAUGAGUUCUACGGAAGAAAGAGGGGGACCCGCAAGGGCCUCUCGCGAGCGGAGCGGCCGAUGACUGAUUAGCCGGUUGGUGAGGUAACGGCUCACCAAAGCAACGAUCAGUAGCUGGUCUGAGAGGACGACCAGCCACACUGGGACUGAGACACGGCCCAGACUCCUACGGGAGGCAGCAGUGGGGAAUUUUGGACAAUGGGCGCAAGCCUGAUCCAGCUAUUCCGCGUGUGGGAUGAAGGCCCUCGGGUUGUAAACCACUUUUGUAGAGAACGAAAAGACACCUUCGAAUAAAGGGUGUUGCUGACGGUACUCUAAGAAUAAGCACCGGCUAACUACGUGCCAGCAGCCGCGGUAAUACGUAGGGUGCGAGCGUUAAUCGGAAUUACUGGGUGUAAAGGGUGCGCAGGCGGUUGAGUAAGACAGAUGUGAAAUCCCCGAGCUUAACUCGGGAAUGGCAUAUGUGACUGCUCGACUAGAGUGUGUCAGAGGGAGGUGGAAUUCCACGUGUAGCAGUGAAAUGCGUAGAUAUGUGGAAGAACACCGAUGGCGAAGGCAGCCUCCUGGGACAUAACUGACGCUCAGGCACGAAAGCGUGGGGAGCAAACAGGAU
RNAcentral lists this ribosomal RNA (750 nucleotides) under uncultured bacterium. RNAcentral describes it as "bacterial SSU rRNA". It matches the Rfam family "Bacterial small subunit ribosomal RNA", at positions 44 to 778 of the family's 1533-position model. The record is from RNAcentral.